Molecule: ribosomal RNA, 468 nt
Filed under: uncultured bacterium
Lineage: Bacteria
Description: partial 16S ribosomal RNA
Rfam family: Bacterial small subunit ribosomal RNA
Source: RNAcentral
GACGAACGCUGGCGGCGUGCUUAACACAUGCAAGUCGAACGGAAAGGCCCUGCUUUUGUGGGGUGCUCGAGUGGCGAACGGGUGAGUAACACGUGAGUAACCUGCCCUUGACUUUGGGAUAACUUCAGGAAACUGGGGCUAAUACCGGAUAGGAGCUCCUGCUGCAUGGUGGGGGUUGGAAAGUUUCGGCGGUUGGGGAUGGACUCGCGGCUUAUCAGCUUGUUGGUGGGGUAGUGGCUUACCAAGGCUUUGACGGGUAGCCGGCCUGAGAGGGUGACCGGCCACAUUAGGACUGAGAUACGGCCCAGACUCCUGCGGGAGGCAGCAGUGGGGAAUAUUGCACAGUGGGCGGAAGCCUGAUGCAGCAACGCCGCGUGCGGGAUGACGGCCUUCGGGUUGUAAACCGCUUUCGCCUGUGACGAAGCGUGAGUGACGGUAAUGGGUAAAGAAGCACCGGCUAACUACGUG